RNAcentral lists this long non-coding RNA (664 nucleotides) under Sorghum bicolor (sorghum). RNAcentral's name for it is "long non-coding RNA (SBIC_LNC009303)". Lineage: Eukaryota; Viridiplantae; Streptophyta; Magnoliopsida; Poales; Poaceae. The record is from RNAcentral.
UGGAGUUUUUGUAGAUUUUCAAAAUAAGACUCAGAGAUUCCUUGUAUGACUCUCUCAAUUCUCUCUUUUGUGGUAUUUCUGGAUCCUUACCAAGACAGUGAUGAUAUAUGCCUUCUCUCAAAGUAUGUGGUAUUUGUGGUAUGAGGCAUAAUGAUAUUGCCUUCUCUCUCACCCUACUCUAACAAGGUUUUGAUAUCUGGAGCUCAUAGGUGGGAGACAGCUAAUACAUACUUACAAGACAUUUAUUGCAUAGUCAAACCAUAGAUCCAGAGAAACAAGUCAAUAAGUCAAAUCAAGAUGUGCAUGUGUGGUGAAUGAAUGGUGUAUGGUGAUGAUGGUGAAAACAUUGGUGAAAGUCUAAUUCUACUUUUGCUCUUUUGAGGGGAUACAUACCUUUCUUGCACUUUGAAGCUUUUUGAAGGGAAUGAGAUGCUCUAUAUUUUCUUUUUUUUCUUAUCUCUCAGGUGGGUACCUUGUACCCCUAAUUCUACUGUCGGACACUUGUCCAUUUUUACCUCUCAUUUCACUUUUUCUUUUCUUCGAGGUUUCGGGCACUUGUCCCUUUUUAUUUCCUCGUAUUCACUCUUUUUUUUAGAGCACUCACCCUCCUAGAAUAAUGUAGCAAGUGGUAGUAACCAAAAUAUCAAGAGCAUUUAUUUCACGG